CUUAAUAUUGGUUAAAUAUGUAUAUAUAUAUAUUUGAUAAUAGAAUUGAAAUGAAGGUAAUUUUCAAUAGCUCUUAUACAUGUCCUGGUGAUAGGGAAUAUCUGUCUUGCAAGCAGGUCUAUUUCCAUUGUCAUUUGUAUUACUGUGUUAAUGAUGGAGAAAAGCUUCAAACCGUAGGUAUCCAAAACGCAAAUGCACACUCUCUCAAAGAAGAGCAUAUGAAACUGCAUCUGAACCUCGGAAAAAAAUCAUUUUUUGAGAUAUCUUGAAUAAAAAAAUAGUCAAAAAAAUACAUCGGUAUAUUAUACAUUACAGGGGUCAUUACAAGUAAAAAUAGACAUAGAACUUAAAAAAGGAACUCCUGAAAAACAUGGUCUUCAUAUUUUCUGUUCAAACUAAAACAAUCUGUUAUACUGGAGUAAUACCGC
This 428-nucleotide long non-coding RNA is filed under the name Mytilus galloprovincialis (Mediterranean mussel). Lineage: Eukaryota; Metazoa; Mollusca; Bivalvia; Mytilida; Mytilidae. The record is from RNAcentral.